RNAcentral lists this ribosomal RNA (497 nucleotides) under uncultured bacterium. RNAcentral's name for it is "partial 16S ribosomal RNA". It matches the Rfam family "Bacterial small subunit ribosomal RNA", at positions 28 to 507 of the family's 1533-position model. The record is from RNAcentral.
GAUGAACGCUGGCGGCGUGCCUAAUACAUGCAAGUCGAGCGAACAGACUAGGUGCUUGCUCCUCUCACGUUAGCUGCGGACGGGUGAGUAACACGUGGAUAACCUACCUAUUAGACUGGGAUAACUUCGGGAAACCGUAGCUAAUACCGCAUAAUAGAUUAAACCGCAUGGUUCAAUAGUGAAAGACGGUUUUGCUUUCCCUUAUAGAUGGAUUCUCGUCUAAUUAGCUAGUUGUUAAGUUAACGGCUUACCAAGGCAACGAUGCUUAGCCGACCUGAGAGGGUGAUCGGCCACACUGGAACUGAGACACGGUCCAGACUCCUACGGGAGGCAGAAGUAGGGAAUCUCCGGCAAUGGGCGAAAGCCUGACGGAGCAACGCCGCGUGAGUGAUGAAGGUCUUCGGAUCGUAAACCUCUGUUAUUAGGGAAGACCAAAUGUGUAAGUAAAUAUGCACGUCUUGACGGUAACUAAUCAGAAAGCCACGGCUAACUACGUG